CAGCAGCCACGGUAAUACGUAGGUGGCAAGCGUUGUCCGGAAUUAUUGGGCGUAAAGGGCUCGCAGGCGGUUUCUUAAGUCUGAUGUGAGAGCCCCCGGCUCAACCGGGGAGGGUCAUUGGAAACUGGGAAACUUGAGUGCAGAAGAGGAGAGUGGAAUUCCACGUGUAGCGGUGAAAUGCGUAGAGAUGUGGAGGGACACCAGUGGCGAAGGCGACUCUCUGGUCUGUAACUGACGCUGAGGAGCGAAAGCGUGGGGAGCGAACAGGAUUAGAUACCCCAGUAGUCCCUGUCUCUUAUAC
This 301-nucleotide ribosomal RNA is filed under the name uncultured bacterium. RNAcentral's name for it is "partial 16S ribosomal RNA". It matches the Rfam family "Bacterial small subunit ribosomal RNA", at positions 509 to 807 of the family's 1533-position model. The record is from RNAcentral.